RNAcentral lists this ribosomal RNA (468 nucleotides) under uncultured bacterium. RNAcentral's name for it is "partial 16S ribosomal RNA". It matches the Rfam family "Bacterial small subunit ribosomal RNA", at positions 28 to 507 of the family's 1533-position model. The record is from RNAcentral.
GACGAACGCUGGCGGCGUGCUUAACACAUGCAAGUCGAACGGAAAGGCCCUGCGUUUGUGGGGUGCUCGAGUGGCGAACGGGGGAGUAACACGUGAGUAACCUGCCCUUGACUUUGGGAUAACUUCAGGAAACUGGGGCUAAUACCGGAUAGGAGCUCCUUCUGCAUGGUGGGGGUGGGAAAGUUUCGGCGGUCGGGGAUGGACGCGCGGCUUAUCAGCUUGUUGGUGGGGUAGUGGCUUACCAAGGCUUUGACGGGUAGCCGGCCUGAGAGGGUGACCGGCCACAUUGGGACUGAGAGACGGCCCAGACUCCUACGGGAGGCAGCAGUGGGGAAUAUUGCACAAUGGGCGGAAGCCUGAUGCAGCAACGCCGCGUGCGGGAUGACGGCCUUCGGGUUGUAAACCGCUUUCGCCUGUGACGAAGCGUGAGUGACGGUAAUGGGUAAAGAAGCACCGGCUAACUACGUG